Molecule: ribosomal RNA, 1343 nt
Filed under: uncultured bacterium
Lineage: Bacteria
Description: 16S ribosomal RNA
Rfam family: Bacterial small subunit ribosomal RNA
Source: RNAcentral
GACGAACGCUGGCGGCGUGCUUAACACAUGCAAGUCGAACGGAAAGGCCCUGCUUUUGUGGGGUGCUCGAGUGGCGAACGGGUGAGUAACACGUGAGUAACCUGCCCUUGACUUUGGGAUAACUUCGGGAAACUGGGGCUAAUACCGGAUAGGAGCUCCUGCUGCAUGGUGGGGGUUGGAAAGUUUCGGCGGUUGGGGAUGGACUCGCGGCUUAUCAGCUUGUUGGUGGGGUAGUGGCUUACCAAGGCUUUGACGGGUAGCCGGCCUGAGAGGGUGACCGGCCACAUUGGGACUGAGAUACGGCCCAGACUCCUACGGGAGGCAGCAGUGGGGAAUAUUGCACAAUGGGCGGAAGCCUGAUGCAGCAACGCCGCGUGCGGGAUGACGGCCUUCGGGUUGUAAACCGCUUUCGCCUGUGACGAAGCGUGAGUGACGGUAAUGGGUAAAGAAGCACCGGCUAACUACGUGCCAGCAGCCGCGGUGAUACGUAGGGUGCGAGCGUUGUCCGGAUUUAUUGGGCGUAAAGGGCUCGUAGGUGGUUGAUCGCGUCGGAAGUGUAAUCUAGGGGCUUAACCCUGAGCGUGCUUUCGAUACGGGUUGACUUGAGGAAGGUAGGGGAGAAUGGAAUUCCUGGUGGAGCGGUGGAAUGCGCAGAUAUCAGGAGGAACACCAGUGGCGAAGGCGGUUCUCUGGGCCUUUCCUGACGCUGAGGAGCGAAAGCGUGGGGAGCGAACAGGCUUAGAUACCCUGGUAGUCCACGCUGUAAACGGUGGGUACUAGGUGUGGGGUCCAUUCCACGGGUUCCGUGCCGUAGCUAACGCUUUAAGUACCCCGCCUGGGGAGUACGGCCGCAAGGCUAAAACUCAAAGGAAUUGACGGGGCCCCGCACAAGCGGCGGAGCAUGCGGAUUAAUUCGAUGCAACGCGUAGAACCUUACCUGGGUUUGACAUGGAUCGGGAGUGCUCAGAGAUGGGUGUGCCUCUUUUGGGGUCGGUUCACAGGUGGUGCAUGGCUGUCGUCAGCUCGUGUCGUGAGAUGUUGGGUUAAGUCCCGCAACGAGCGCAACCCUUGUUCACUGUUGCCAGCACGUUAUGGUGGGGACUCAGUGGAGACCGCCGGGGUCAACUCGGAGGAAGGUGGGGAUGACGUCAAGUCAUCAUGCCCCUUAUGUCCAGGGCUUCACGCGUGCUACAAUGGCUGGUACAGAGAGUGGCGAGCCUGUGAGGGUGAGCGAAUCUCGGAAAGCCGGUCUCAGUUCGGAUUGGGGUCUGCAACUCGACCUCAUGAAGUCGGAGUCGCUAGUAAUCGCAGAUCAGCAACGCUGCGGUGAGUACGUUCCCGGG